RNAcentral lists this long non-coding RNA (309 nucleotides) under Helianthus annuus (common sunflower). Its description in RNAcentral is "sRNA HanXRQr2_Chr12g0521221". The record is from RNAcentral. Lineage: Eukaryota; Viridiplantae; Streptophyta; Magnoliopsida; Asterales; Asteraceae.
AUGAUGCAAUUAUUCCAUAAACCCUAGAAACGUAUAGCAGCUAUGGUUUGAGGCCUACAAUCAUAACCGUCUUGUUUGUCUGCGAUAUGAUUUAGUCGAAGCGCUCAAUGGUGCUCAAAGAAUUCUUUUGUGGAAGUCAUCAUCCUGAGUCGAAGUUGAUUCCAGAUCUUUGCUUCUUCAUAUUUAUGCAUCACAUUUUGUCAUUACACAACCUGUAACUGUAGUCAUCUCCCACAAACUCUGUAUUAACAAGAUUUCUAAUGCAUAUUGGAAGAAUAAUGAGAUUAGUUCAACAAACUUCCAUUUCUG